UGAAGAUCCCAGAAGGCUCUGCCUAAUUCC
Molecule: non-coding RNA, 30 nt
Filed under: Mus musculus (house mouse)
Lineage: Eukaryota; Metazoa; Chordata; Mammalia; Rodentia; Muridae
Source: RNAcentral